RNAcentral lists this ribosomal RNA (253 nucleotides) under uncultured bacterium. RNAcentral's name for it is "partial 16S ribosomal RNA". It matches the Rfam family "Bacterial small subunit ribosomal RNA", at positions 524 to 776 of the family's 1533-position model. The record is from RNAcentral.
UACAGAGGGGGCAAGCGUUAUUCGGAAUUAUUGGGCUUAAAGCAUCCGUAGCCGGUUCUCCAAGUCUUCCGUUAAAUCCAACUGCUUAACAGGUGGGCUGCGGAAGAUACUAUAGAGCUAGGAGGCGGGAGAGGCAAGCGGUACUCGAUGGGUAGGGGUAAAAUCCGUUGAUCCAUUGAAGACCACCAGUGGCGAAGGCGGCUUGCCAGAACGCGCUCGACGGUGAGGGAUGAAAGCUGGGGGAGCAAACCGG